GAUGAAGAACGUAGCGAAAUGCGAUAAGUAAUGUGAAUUGCAGAAUUCAGUGAAUCAUCGAAUCUUUGAACGCACAUUGCGCCCUCUGGUAUUCCGGGGGGCAUGCCUGUUCGAGCGUCAUUAUAACCACUCAAGCUCUCGCUUGGUAUUGGAGUUCGCGAUCUCGCGGCUCCUAAAAUCAGUGGCGGUGCCUGUCGGCUCUACGCGUAGUAAUACUCCUCGCGAUUGAGUCCGGUAGGUUUACUUGCCAGAAACCCCCAAUUUUUACAGGUUGACCUCGGAUCAGGUAGGGAUACCCGCUGAACUUAAGCAUAUCAAUAAGCGGAGGA
This 329-nucleotide unclassified non-coding RNA is filed under the name soil metagenome. RNAcentral describes it as "partial contains 5.8S ribosomal RNA, internal transcribed spacer 2, and large subunit ribosomal RNA". The stretch from base 1 to 120 matches the Rfam family "5.8S ribosomal RNA", at positions 35 to 154 of the family's 154-position model. The record is from RNAcentral.